RNAcentral lists this ribosomal RNA (352 nucleotides) under Terebra sp. MNHN IM 2013-59944. RNAcentral describes it as "partial 12S ribosomal RNA". The record is from RNAcentral. Lineage: Eukaryota; Metazoa; Mollusca; Gastropoda; Neogastropoda; Terebridae.
UNNNCCGGAGUACUAUGAAUAUUAAAAAUUUAAAACUCAAAGAACUUGGCGGUGUUUUAGACCACUCAGGGGAACCUGUCUCAUAAUCGAUAAUCCACGUUAUACCUGACCUUUUCUUGUAUUCAGUUUGUAUACCGUUGUCGUCAGGUAACUUUUUAGAGACUAGAAGUUAGCAGCAGAAAUAAGAAUAAUUUAAUACGUCAAAUCAAGGUGCAGCUAAUGAAAGGGGGAGGAUGGGUUACAAUUAUAUGAUUUAUAAUAACGGAUAAGUAUAUGAAGUAUAUUAAUUAUAAGGCGGACUUGAAAGUAAAUUAAGUUAUAUAGAUAAUUUGAAUAAGGCUCUGAAACGUGU